Molecule: ribosomal RNA, 497 nt
Filed under: uncultured bacterium
Lineage: Bacteria
Description: partial 16S ribosomal RNA
Rfam family: Bacterial small subunit ribosomal RNA
Source: RNAcentral
GACGAACGCUGGCGGCGUGCCUAAUACAUGCAAGUAGAACGCUGAAGAGAGGAGCUUGCUCUUCUUGGAUGAGUUGCGAACGGGUGAGUAACGCGUAGGUAACCUGCCUUGUAGCGGGGGAUAACUAUUGGAAACGAUAGCUAAUACCGCAUAACAAUAGGUGACACAUGUCAUUUAUUUGAAAGGGGCAAUUGCUCCACUACAAGAUGGACCUGCGUUGUAUUAGCUAGUAGGUGAGGUAACGGCUCACCUAGGCGACGAUACAUAGCCGACCUGAGAGGGUGAUCGGCCACACUGGGACUGAGACACGGCCCAGACUCCUACGGGAGGCAGCAGUAGGGAAUCUUCGGCAAUGGGGGCAACCCUGACCGGGCAACGCCGCGUGAGUGAAGAAGGUUUUCGGAUCGUAAAGCUCUGUUGUAAGUCAAGAACGAGUGUGAGAGUGGAAAGUUCACACUGUGACGGUAGCUUACCAGAAAGAGACGGCUAACUACGUG